This is a long non-coding RNA of Falco tinnunculus (common kestrel), 1914 nucleotides long. NCBI's taxonomy places the organism in Eukaryota, Metazoa, Chordata, Aves, Falconiformes, Falconidae. The record is from Ensembl.
AUGCUCCGUGGGGCCAUGUCAUGCCGCGUGGGCAGUGCCACCCAGCCCCGAGGCAGGAUCUGCACCCAGCCACCUCGGAGGGCAAGAAGCUGGCCCCGGGGGGGAGGGAGGAGCGGUGCUGCCCUCCGCGGGGAGGGGGGCCGAGCCUGCGGGCUAAAAUGGCCACGCUCGGCUGCAGGCGUGGGCUCUGCCAUGCGGCAAGGGUUAACCCCAGCAGGCAUGCUGGGAAAGGGGCAGGCAGAACUGCACCGGGAGAACCGGGGCGGCGGGCGGCGGGCAGCGCUCCCCGGCCCGCCCCGGCGCUGGGGGGAGCGGCGAGGAAAGCUGGAAAAUGCCCUUUGUCCGCUGCCCACUGCGCGCAUUGGGUCCGGCCGUGACACUAUCCUUCCUCCGCCUGUGUCCUUCUGGCACAUGAAGUCACCGGCAACAGAUAAAACAGGGACAUUCAUCGUGGGUUCUGCAGAGAAGACGAUGUGGCGCUUAGACACCAGAGGUGCCUCAGCUCUCCCCGGCUGGCUGGUGGAAUGAGAUGUCUUAUCUUGAGUUUAACGGCUCAACCUGACCCUGAGCCAUUUUUAACCAGGGGUGGGAAGAGCCCUCCCUGGUCGUCCCUCUUCGCUUUGAAAAAUUCUUCAGUCACUGCACGGUAUCUGCUUUCCUGAUGGUUUUAAUUUCUGUACCCCUGCAACCUGAAGCAGACCCACUUUCUCAGUGUUUGAUGCUCUGCUUCUUGAAGAUGCUUUAACUCUCGGGACUCAGAAAUAACUCCUAGCAAACGCAGCGCAGAGAGACCCAACAAGAAGACAUCUAAUCUAAUGUAUCACAUUUCCAUAUUUUGUGCUGCAAGCAGCAAUUUGUGGUUCAGCAGCAACGGCUGAGUAGAGAAGAGCAUUAUCACAGAAAUUCCUUCCAUCUCUCGCCUGAGUAUGUGACAAAUAACUCUUGGCCGUGGCAUUGUCUUUUCUGGUUUCGGACUAAGAGGCUUAACUCUUUUUUUCUUUCCCCGGAAAGGCAAUUUUACCUUUGCCUUGUGCACCCUCCAUUCCCCGUAACUGAGAAUUUGCUGCCCGCAGCAGCAUCCCCUGUGCUCAGGCAGCGAAGCGGCGCUCCGAGGCGGGAGGUGGCACGGGGAGGCCCUAAACACCCGUGCCCCCCGGGCGGGGGCGGCGGGGGGGUGUGCUGGGGAGAGCCCGGCACGGCUCGGUGCGAGCUACCUUUCCAAGAGACGGGGAAUCUGUGUGGGAGGCUCUGGGAGCGUGUCCUGCGAGACGCUGAACUGCAAAAGAGAAUGCGAUAACCGGAGGGUGGUGGCAGAGAACCAGCCCGGCAGCCGUUUGGUGCGGGGCUGCGGGACGCAGCCGUCCCGGGGGGGGGGCCAGGGGACCUUUCCCCGCCGGUGCGGGGUGGGCUCCCAAAGCGCUACCCGCUACCCUUCACCUAGAGAGGGACCACGAGCAGGAGGGGCCGGGGGCUGAACCCCCUUGGGGGGGCUGGGAGGCGCCGGCCGGGAGCCGCUGCCCCGCCGGCACCGCCGGGGUUUGCGGGCAGGGAUCGCUCUGUACCCGCAUCCAUCCCUCUUCGGUGAGCAGCCUGCCCGGAGAAGUUAAAAUCCAAACCUCCGGGGCAAGAGCCAUCGCCCACAGCCGCCCUCUCGGCCCCCGCCGUGCCACCGGGCACCGGCCGCAGCCGCGCCCGUCGCGGGACCGUGUGAGACUGGGGGGCCGGGGCCAGCGCUGCCGGCGCCGCGGGCUCCCCGGAUCCGCAGGGGAUGCUGGCGGCCGCGCAGGCUGGCGGUACUGCCUCGGUGUGUGGCACUGGUGAGCCCACUUUCCGUGUUAACAGGCUCCGGUAGCUUAAAAGAGAUACUGAAAUAUUGGAGAGGAGUGGGAAAAGAGGCAGAGGGAUGCCGUGAGG